Molecule: ribosomal RNA, 238 nt
Filed under: Dysdera gomerensis
Lineage: Eukaryota; Metazoa; Arthropoda; Arachnida; Araneae; Dysderidae
Description: partial 12S ribosomal RNA
Source: RNAcentral
GUUUAUUAAUCGACACCACUCGUUAAUUUUAACUUGAAUACUCAGCUUAUAUACCGCCGUCAAAACUAUUUUUACAAAAAUACUUUAAUAUACUACAAUUAAUGUCAGGUCAAGGUAUAGCCAAUAUUCAAGUCUAAAUAAGUUACUAUAAACACAAUUUAUAGAAUUAAGUAAAAACAACAUAAAAAAGGAUUUAACAACAAUAUUUUAAUAAUAAUUAAAUAUGAAAUUGUUUUAA